ACUCCAUGAGAAUUAUAUUGCAGCUUUUUUUAUUGACAUUAACGAGGUUUAGUGAAGAAGCGAUAUAUACAGUUGUCUUUUAACUUUUAAUUUACUGGAUCAAGGUUCAGCUUUUUGUUCAAGAUGCCACAGAUUUCAUCUUAUUUGUUCUAUUUGUGCGUGAUGUGACCGAUUACGUCCACAAGCCGGCUUCCCAGUUGAUCAGCAAUUAACAACUGUUGAGAUUGUCUUUCUAGGAACUGGUUCAACUUACUAUUAGGUUGUGGACUUGUAGUGAAAGAACACUGCCUAGCUGAAACCAAGGAUUUGCUGCAGGAAACUUAUACAGCAACCCAUGCUAGAUGGUUGAGUACGUCAAGUUUCUGCAAGGACAUCGUAUUCAGAUUAAUCAUGCGUAAGAAUCUUAGUUGAGAUGUGUAGUGAAGGAACUGAGGGGGCAUGGAGACGUUGUAGAGGAUAUAUGAAUUUGUGCAAUCUCCAACUUUUUACUCAUGCCUACAACCUCGACCCAUUUUCAAGUACGAGGAACAACGGACAUGCUAUACAACCAAACAUUGUAUUUGCUUCAAAGCCUAUCAAAGAUGCCUAACAAACGAUAUUUAUCAUCAGUUGUAUUGUUACCAUUAAUCUUGAAUUCUAUAGUUAUGUUUGGAUUUUUGUUAUAUCUUUAGUAACUUUAUGUUUUUAUGAAGGUUUUAUUUUCAUUAA
This is a long non-coding RNA of Erigeron canadensis, 708 nucleotides long. RefSeq lists it as uncharacterized. The transcript has 4 exons. The record is from RefSeq and is a predicted model, not a curated record. Lineage: Eukaryota; Viridiplantae; Streptophyta; Magnoliopsida; Asterales; Asteraceae.